Picea glauca (white spruce) is the source of this 411-nucleotide non-coding RNA. Lineage: Eukaryota; Viridiplantae; Streptophyta; Pinopsida; Pinales; Pinaceae. The record is from Rfam.
AAAGAGAUUUCCACUGUCCCAAGAUACUAUCUAGAGAAACCAAAACCAAGGGAAUGAGCUUGGAAAAAUUUGCGGGGAAAGACGACUCUGUUGAGCUUGAGUCUAGUCCAACUUUGUGAAAUGACUUGAGAGGUGUAGAAUAAGUGGUAUUUGUUUUCAGUGAAAGUGAAAUAACACUACUUUUAACGUCAUUUUACUUAUUUCGUGGGGUAGAGAUCAGGCAUUUCACAUAUGUUAAAAUAUAAUGCACAUUUCCUCAAAGUGUUGUCUUUGAUGGAAAUGGUUAAAAGCUCAUUAUUCACACACUUGAUUGCAAUGAGUUUAGGAAACCAAAGAGGAUCAUUUCUUUUAAGGAUGAAGAAAAUUCCUAUAACAAUCCCUUUGUUUUUAGCCAACAUCCCCCCUAUAAGU